GUCAAGUCAUCAUGGCCCUUAUGUCCAGGGCUACACACGUGCUACAAUGGGCGGUACAGAGCGGAGCGAAGCCGCGAGGCGCAGGCGAAUCGCUUAAAGCCGGUCUCAGUUCGGAUUGAAGUCUGAAACCCGACUUCAUGAAGUUGGAAUCGCUAGUAAUCGCGCAUCAGCAUGGCGCGGUGAAUACGUUCCCGGGCCUU
RNAcentral lists this ribosomal RNA (200 nucleotides) under uncultured prokaryote. Its description in RNAcentral is "partial 16S ribosomal RNA". It matches the Rfam family "Bacterial small subunit ribosomal RNA", at positions 1184 to 1382 of the family's 1533-position model. The record is from RNAcentral.